This 3580-nucleotide long non-coding RNA is filed under the name Homo sapiens (human). RNAcentral describes it as "HSALNT0147120". The record is from RNAcentral. Lineage: Eukaryota; Metazoa; Chordata; Mammalia; Primates; Hominidae.
GGAAACUUAAUAGGCUGUUGAAGCGAAAACCCUCAGAAGAGGUUGUUUCAACCAGACUUUCCUUUCUGAUAAAUCACUGGAGCUGCCUAAACUGAAUCCCAUCAAUCCUCUGUUCUCUGCUAGCCCUUUGUCUUAGCCCACUUGGGCUGCUAUAACAGGAAUGGCAUACACUGCGUGGCUUAUAAACAAUAGAAAUUUAUUGCUCACUGUUCUGAGGGCUGGGAAGUCCAAAAUUAAGGCACCUGAAGUUGCUGUGUCUGGUGAGGGCAUGCUUUCUGCUUCAUAGAUCGCACCUUCUAACAAUGUCCUCACAGGGUGGAAGGGGCUAGCUUUUUGGGUUCUCUUAUAAAGGCAAUCAUCUCAUUCACGAGGGUGGAGCCUCAUGACCUAAACCCCUCCCAAAAGCUCUCAUCUUGUAAUACUGUCACAUUGGGGAUCAGGUUUCAACUUAGGAAUUUUGGAGGAACAUAAACAUUCGGAUCAUAACAUCCUUCGUUUCCCACAUUCUUGGCAAUUUCUUCCCUGGCUCAUUGCCAACUGCCCUACUGUCCCUGACUACCUGUGACGGUUAAUUUUAGGUGUCAAUUUGACUGGACUAAAGGAUGCACAGAUAGCUGAUAAAACAUUAAUUCUGGGUGUGUCUGUGAGGGGGUUUCUGGAAGAAAUUAGCGUUUAACUCAGUAGACUGAGUAAAGCAGAUCACCCCCACCAGUGGGAGUGGGCAUCCUGCAAUCCAUUGAGGGCCUAAAUACUAAUAGAAGAAAAAGGCAAAGGAGGGGCGAAUUCACUUUCUCUGUUGGAGCUGGGACAUCCAUCUUCUCCUGCCCUCAGAUAUCAGAACCCCUGGUUCUCAGACCUUUGGACCUGAACUGAAUUAUACCACUGGCUUUUCUAGUUCUCCAGCUUGCAGAGAGCAGAUCAUGAUACUUAGCCUCCAUAAUCACAUAGGAAAAUUCCUAUAAAUAAUAAACGUGUGUGUGUGUGUGUUUGUACGCGUGCGCAUGUGUAUGUGUGUGUAUAUGAUGGUUUCUUUGGAGAAUCCUAUUACUCAAGACUGCCUUUUCUUCAUCAAAUAUGUUGAUGCAGGUAGGAUGAAGUGUCAGCAAAUGAGCAUAUUCUAAUUUACUCUUUCACUUUAAAAAACAAAACCAGAUAAUCAUGGCAAGAAACCCUCCUUGACCCUCUGCAUUUCUGCCUUAUUUCUCUAUUUUCAUCCACAGUCAAAAUUCUCAGGAGUUGUCUGCAUACCCUGUCUUCAGUUUUGCAUGACUCAUUCACCCUUCAACCUCCUCCAACCUGGCUUCUACUCCCUCAGCUCCACCCACGACAUUUGCUGAAGCCAUAAAUUACCUUCAGAAUCAGAGAGCUGGUACCAUUUUAGUAGGUUCGUGGCCUGCCUGAAAACUAUGACCUUGGAGCAUCAUUUACUCAAAAUGCUAAUCCAAAAACAGGACAUCAAAACUAGUCAUCCUUCACCUCAUGGAAAUGAAUACCCCAAGGUUUCCUCUGGUCACUUUCCACACAUCCUCAUUUGGCCCCUGCUCAUGAGCAAGUUGAUUUAGGAGAUGGUGCCUGGCAGUUCCUCCUCUGAUUAUCCAGGGAAGACAGAAAAAGAGGAAAACAGGAGACAAGAAGUAAAGCUUAGAACAGAGAGGUAACCAUUAACCAGUAAGGGCUAAUAGAUGAGUCCAGAGAAAAGAUAACAAAGGAGGCAAGGAGAGCAUGGUAAGCCAUGGUAGGGGUGAGGGAAAGAUAUUGAAGAUUGAACUCCACCAGUGUGGGAUAAUGUUUGUAUGUGGACUGUGUUGUGUCUCAGGUUCAGGUUGUUUAAGCAGCCUAGUGACCCAGAUGGUCCCCUCCUUAGUGUCUGGUUUUGUCAGGUUGUAACUUGGCUUUUUCAGUUCCCUAAUAUCUCACAUUAUCUCCUCUUCCUCCUAGGCCUUAAUCAUGUCUUACUUUUUUACCUCCCAAUUGGUUGAUAUUGAAUUCUUAUUAAAUAAAAAUGUACUCUUUACUCUUGAGUUAAAAUUCUGAUGGGGGAAGAAUGUAUACACAGAAAUAAUGUCACAACUAUUUAUGUUAAUUAAAGGAAAUACAGAGCAAGGUCAACUGAGAUAUUCCGGAGAAGGGAGUUUCCUUAGGGUAUUGCCGCAUGGACAUACGUGCUCACUGUGGCACAGAAACACCUGCAGAUUUUUCUUUCACGUAAGACUCAGAGGCAAAGUUACUGUAAUCAAGAAUAUGUUGUUAAGAAGGCCUGGUAUUAAUACUGUCAUUGGUAAGCAUUUUGUAACUUAUAUAAAGCAGACCUUGGGUUUUCAGGACACUUCAUCUGCUAAUUGUCAACAAAAUACAGCUGAGGUUGCAAUGUGUCAGCAAGAAUGUCAAGGAGGAAGUCAGAGGGUCAAAUCAGCUGGGGCUUGGCCCAUUUACCCUAGGUGGUGUUCUUAAAGACUCAGUGGUUCAUUCUGCUUGGCAGCUUAAAGAGCCAUUGAGGUUCAGAACUAAAAAUGUGUGGGCCAGGAAGAGGGCAGUGAAUGACUGGGACCAACUUGCCAGUGUCUCCCAGGGGCACCGGCUCAGAUAACUGGAAGUCUGGAAGCUUUCUCAUACGCAGCCAGUCCCGUAAGCAGCUCUUGGCAAGACUAAAAAAAAAAAAAAAAAAAAGAAAGAAAAAAAGAAAAGAGCUUCCCACUUGUGUUUCUUAACUGUAACUGUGCCUAAGAAUCACGUGGUGCUUGUCAAAGUGCAUAUUCCUGAGCCCUACUCACAGGCACUUACACGCUCCUUUCGGGGUUGGGCCCAGAGAUCAGCAUUUUCACAGGCACACCAGGUAUUCCAGAAUAAGAUGGUCUGUGGAGCACGUUUUCAGAAAUGCUGCCUUAAAGCCUUCCACGUGUCCCAGCUGUCUAAUCACUGUAUGAGGGUCCAUGAUUUAAUCUAUUUUCAAAGACAGGGGUCUGGAAGUCGUUUUUCUCCUCCCACAUUCAAUCUGUCAUCUCCUUCUGCCACUGUGUUCUAACAUUUCCCUUAAGUUUGGGCCCUCUCCUCAAGCUCCUCACUGAAAAGCACUGUCUAAGCUGGAUGCAUUUCACACGAGAGCUUCUGUGGUUGGACUGCUUAAGUUAAACCAGCCUCCACGAGGGUGUCCAGCAGAGAGGUGCACCUGAGGGAUUAGGGCAACAACCUAACUCGGGCCUCAGUUACUGCAGAAUUCAAUUUGCCAGAGGUGCCAACGUGAAGACCAAAGGUUGAGUCUUACACAGGUCUUCCUGUUUUGUUUCUUUAAACCUUGAACGUUUUGCCAAUGUUUUUAAAUGGGGGGAAUUUCUCAUAGACAUCCAGAUUUCUGGGUGUUCUUAGAAUAUCAGAUCUGGCUAGUUUGGCCAGUUUCCCUAAGGGCAACAGUCAGCUGGGUUGAGGAGAGGCUGCCCUCUUGAGACGCUGUACCAGCCUCCCCAAGCAGAGGUACAUAUUGUCUGAAGAUAAGAAAGCUAACAUGCUAAAGCCUGAUCUUUCAAGGCCCUUGACCCAAUUUUGUAUUUGCAAUUCUGUGUUGUUUUCUUAAAGAGGCCUCCAC